CAGCAGCCACGGUAAUACAGAGGGUGCGAGCGUUAAUCGGAUUUACUGGGCGUAAAGCGUGCGUAGGCGGCUAAUUGAGUCGGAUGUGAAAUCCCCGAGCUUAACUUGGGAAUUGCAUUCGAUACUGGUUAGCUAGAGUGUGGGAGAGGAUGGUAGAAUUCCAGGUGUAGCGGUGAAAUGCGUAGAGAUCUGGAGGAAUACCGAUGGCGAAGGCAGCCAUCUGGCCUAACACUGACGCUGAGGUACGAAAGCAUGGGGAGCAAACAGGAUUAGAUACCCCUGUAGUCCCUGUCUCUUAUAC
This 301-nucleotide ribosomal RNA is filed under the name uncultured bacterium. Its description in RNAcentral is "partial 16S ribosomal RNA". It matches the Rfam family "Bacterial small subunit ribosomal RNA", at positions 509 to 807 of the family's 1533-position model. The record is from RNAcentral.